GAUGAACGCUAGCGGCAGGCUUAACACAUGCAAGUCGAGGGGUAGAAGGAGCUUGCUCCUUUGAGACCGGCGCACGGGUGCGUAACGCGUAUGCAAUCUACCUUUUGCAGAGGGAUAGCCCAGAGAAAUUUGGAUUAAUACCUCAUAGUAUGUGAGGAUGGCAUCAUUUUCACAUUAAAGUCACAACGGCAAAAGAUGAGCAUGCGUCCCAUUAGCUAGUUGGUAAGGUAACGGCUUACCAAGGCUACGAUGGGUAGGUCCGUGAGAGGGAGAUCCCCCACACUGGUACUGAGACACGGACCAGACUCCUACGGGAGGCAGCAGUGAGGAAUAUUGGACAAUGGGCGCAAGCCUGAUCCAGCCA
RNAcentral lists this ribosomal RNA (364 nucleotides) under uncultured bacterium. Its description in RNAcentral is "bacterial SSU rRNA". It matches the Rfam family "Bacterial small subunit ribosomal RNA", at positions 28 to 394 of the family's 1533-position model. The record is from RNAcentral.